RNAcentral lists this ribosomal RNA (695 nucleotides) under uncultured Lachnospiraceae bacterium. RNAcentral's name for it is "bacterial SSU rRNA". It matches the Rfam family "Bacterial small subunit ribosomal RNA", at positions 28 to 736 of the family's 1533-position model. The record is from RNAcentral. Lineage: Bacteria; Bacillati; Bacillota; Clostridia; Lachnospirales; Lachnospiraceae.
GACGAACGCUGGCGGCGCGCCUAACACAUGCAAGUCGAACGAGAGAUGAGGAGCUUGCUCUUCAAAUCGAGUGGCGAACGGGUGAGUAACGCGUGAGGAACCUGCCUCAAAGAGGGGGACAACAGUUGGAAACGACUGCUAAUACCGCAUAAGCCCACAGCUCGGCAUCGAGCAGAGGGAAAAGGAGUGAUCCGCUUUGAGAUGGCCUCGCGUCCGAUUAGCUAGUUGGUGAGGUAACGGCCCACCAAGGCGACGAUCGGUAGCCGGACUGAGAGGUUGAACGGCCACAUUGGGACUGAGACACGGCCCAGACUCCUACGGGAGGCAGCAGUGGGGAAUAUUGCACAAUGGGGGAAACCCUGAUGCAGCGACGCCGCGUGGAGGAAGAAGGUCUUCGGAUUGUAAACUCCUGUUGUUGAGGAAGAUAAUGACGGUACUCAACAAGGAAGUGACGGCUAACUACGUGCCAGCAGCCGCGGUAAAACGUAGGUCACAAGCGUUGUCCGGAAUUACUGGGUGUAAAGGGAGCGCAGGCGGGAGAACAAGUUGGAAGUGAAAUCCAUGGGCUCAACCCAUGAACUGCUUUCAAAACUGUUUUUCUUGAGUAGUGCAGGGGUAGGCGGAAUUCCCGGUGUAGCGGUGGAAUGCGUAGAUAUCGGGAGGAACACCAGUGGCGAAGGCGGCCUACUGGGCAC